GGACAACCUACCCUUAGGACGGGGAUAAACCCGGGAAACUGGGUAUAAUACCCGAUAGUCCUCAGAUGCUGGAAUGCACCGAGGACUAAAGCUCCGGCGCCUAAGGAUGGGUCUGCGGCCUAUCAGGUAGUAGUGGGUGUAGCGUACCUACUAGCCUACGACGGGUACGGGUUGUGAGAGCAAGAGCCCGGAGAUGGAUUCUGAGACACGAAUCCAGGCCCUACGGGGUGCAGCAGGCGCGAAAACUUUACAAUGCUGGAAACAGCGAUAAGGGGACCUCGAGUGCCAGGUUACAAAUCUGGCUGUCGUGAUGCCUAAAAAGCAUUGCAUAGCAAGGGCCGGGCAAGACCGGUGCCAGCCGCCGCGGUAACACCGGCGGCUCGAGUGGUAACCGUUAUUAUUGGGUCUAAAGGGUCUGUAGCCGGCCGGAUAAGUCUCUUGGGAAAUCUGGCAGCUUAACUGUCAGGCUUUCAGGAGAUACUGUCUGGCUCGAGGCCGGGAGAGGUGAGAGGUACUUCAGGGGUAGGGGUGAAAUCUUGUAAUCCUUGAAGGACCACCAGUGGCGAAGGCGUCUCACCAGAACGGACCUGACGGCAAGGGACGAAAGCUAGGGGCACGAACCGGAUUAGAUACCCGGGUAGUCCUAGCCGUAAACGAUACUCGCUAGGUGUCGGCCACGGUGCGACCGUUGUCGGUGCCGUAGGAAAGCCGUGAAGCGAGCCACCUGGGAAGUACGGCCGCAAGGCUGAAACU
This 753-nucleotide ribosomal RNA is filed under the name uncultured archaeon. RNAcentral describes it as "bacterial SSU rRNA". It matches the Rfam family "Archaeal small subunit ribosomal RNA", at positions 102 to 856 of the family's 1478-position model. The record is from RNAcentral.